Molecule: long non-coding RNA, 306 nt
Organism: Entelurus aequoreus (snake pipefish)
Lineage: Eukaryota; Metazoa; Chordata; Actinopteri; Syngnathiformes; Syngnathidae
Exons: 3
Source: RefSeq, a predicted model, not a curated record
AGAAGUGGACGGACUCUUCUAAACGUAUUUACAGAGGAAUAUGAAGCCGCAACGACCUCAGCUGCUUGCUACUCUGAGACUUCAUUGGAUAAAUGUGAAAUAAAGGAGGCUGCAACAAAGGAAAUACAUUGGAUCCUUGAAAGUGGGACAAAACUUUGGAGCGUCAUCACCGAUGACGUCUACCAAGACAUUGCAAUACUUCAGAAGAUGCAUGUGCUUGUAUGAGCCAGUCUGCCCCACAACAAGAGGAUAGAGAAAAAGAAGGAGCUUACGGACUACAUCGUCGGACUACAAUGGCGGGCGCAC